UGGGGAAUAUUGCACAAUGGGCGCAAGCCUGAUGCAGCAAUGCCGCGUGAGUGAAGACGGCCUUAGGGUUGUAAAACUCUUUCGCUAGGGAAGAUAAUGACGGUACCUAGUAAAGAAGUCCCGGCUAACUCCGUGCCAGCAGCCGCGGUAAUACGGAGGGGGUUAGCGUUGUUCGGAAUUACUGGGCGUAAAGCGCACGUAGGCGGACCAGAAAGUUGGGGGUGAAAUCCCGGGGGCUCAACCCCGGAACUGCCUCCAAAACUAUUGGUCUAGAGUUCGAGAGAGGUGAGUGGAAUUCCAAGUGUAGAGGUGAAAUUCGUAGAUAUUUGGAGGAACACCAGUGGCGAAGGCGGCUCACUGGCUCGAUACUGACGCUGAGGUGCGAAAGUGUGGGGAGCAAACAGGAUUAGAUACCCUGGUAGUCCACACCGUAAAACGAUGAAUGCCAGUCGUCGGGUAGCAUGCUAUUCGGUGACACACCUAACGGAUUAAGCAUUCCGGCCUGGGGAGUACGGUCGCAAGAUUAAAA
RNAcentral lists this ribosomal RNA (529 nucleotides) under uncultured bacterium. RNAcentral describes it as "bacterial SSU rRNA". It matches the Rfam family "Bacterial small subunit ribosomal RNA", at positions 355 to 899 of the family's 1533-position model. The record is from RNAcentral.